CAAAAUAUAGCUUAACAAAAGCACCCACCCUACAACUGGGAGAUGUCAUAAAAGACUUUUUUGA
RNAcentral lists this transfer RNA (64 nucleotides) under Meroles squamulosus. Its description in RNAcentral is "tRNA-Val". Lineage: Eukaryota; Metazoa; Chordata; Lepidosauria; Squamata; Lacertidae. The record is from RNAcentral.